Molecule: ribosomal RNA, 245 nt
Filed under: uncultured bacterium
Lineage: Bacteria
Description: partial 16S ribosomal RNA
Rfam family: Bacterial small subunit ribosomal RNA
Source: RNAcentral
UACGGGGGGAGCAAGCGUUGUUCGGAAUUACUGGGCGUAAAGGGCGCGCAGGCGGUUGGAUAAGUAGGUGGUGAAAACCUUGGGCUUAACUCAGGGCCUGCCAUCUAAACUGUCUGGCUAGAGUGUGGGAGAGGGAAGUGGAAUUCCUGGUGUAGCGGUGAAAUGCGUAGAUAUCAGGAGGAACACCGGUGGCGAAGGCGGCUUCCUGGACCACAACUGACGCUGAGGCGCGAAAGCUAGGGGAG